This 321-nucleotide unclassified non-coding RNA is filed under the name plant metagenome. Its description in RNAcentral is "partial contains 5.8S ribosomal RNA, internal transcribed spacer 2, and large subunit ribosomal RNA". The stretch from base 1 to 105 matches the Rfam family "5.8S ribosomal RNA", at positions 50 to 154 of the family's 154-position model. The record is from RNAcentral.
GAAAUGCGAUAAGUAAUGUGAAUUACAGAAUUCAGUGAAUCAUCGAAUCUUUGAACGCACAUUGCGCCUAUUAGUAUUCUAGUAGGCAUGCCUGUUCGAGCGUCAUUUCAACCCUCAAGCCCUGGUUGCUUGGUGUUGGGAGCUUGCUGUGAAACGCAACUCCUCAAAGCUAGCUGGCAGAGUCGGGAUGCACUCUAAGCGUAGUAAACUAGAUAGUCUCGCUUCUGCAGUUGUCCCGGCCGUCUUGCCAUAAAAGCCCAAACUUUUUUUGUUUUCUAUGGUUGACCUCGGAUCAGGUAGGAAUACCCGCUGAACUUAAGC